UACGUAGGGUGCGAGCGUUAAUCGGAAUUACUGGGCGUAAAGCGUGCGCAGGCGGCCAUACAGGUCCGUUGUGAAAACUCGAGGCUUAACCUCGAGACGUCGAUGGAAACCGUAUGGCUAGAGUCCGGAAGAGGAGAGUGGAAUUCCUGGUGUAGCGGUGAAAUGCGCAGAUAUCAGGAAGAACACCCGUGGCGAAGGCGGCUCUCUGGGACGGUACUGACGCUGAGACGCGAAAGCGUGGGGAGCGAACAGG
Molecule: ribosomal RNA, 253 nt
Filed under: uncultured bacterium
Lineage: Bacteria
Description: partial 16S ribosomal RNA
Rfam family: Bacterial small subunit ribosomal RNA
Source: RNAcentral